GAUGAACGCUGGCGGCGUGCCUAAUACAUGCAAGUCGAGCGAACAGACGAGGAGCUUGCUCCUCUGACGUUAGCGGCGGACGGGUAAGUAACACGUGGAUAACCUACCUAUAAGACUGGGAUAACUUCGGGAAGCCGGAGCUAAUACCGGAUAAUAUAUUGAACCGCAUGGUUCAAUAGUGAAAGACGGUUUUGCUGUCACUUAUAGAUGGAUCCGCGCCGCAUUAGCUAGUUGGUAAGGUAACGGCUUACCAAGGCAACGAUGCGUAGCCGACCUGAGAGGGUGAUCGGCCACACUGGAACUGAGACACGGUCCAGACUCCUACGGGAGGCAGCAGUAGGGAAUCUUCCGCAAUGGGCGAAAGCUUGACGGAGCAACGCCGCGUGAGUGAUGAAGGUCUUCGGAUCGUAAAACUCUGUUAUUAGGGAAGAACAAAUGUGUAAGUAACUAUGCACGUCUUGACGGUACCUAAUCAGAAAGCCACGGCUAACUACGUG
This 497-nucleotide ribosomal RNA is filed under the name uncultured bacterium. Its description in RNAcentral is "partial 16S ribosomal RNA". It matches the Rfam family "Bacterial small subunit ribosomal RNA", at positions 28 to 507 of the family's 1533-position model. The record is from RNAcentral.